UUCAGACAGGAGUCGUUCUCAGCUCUACCAGGAUUUAAGAAGAAGGAAGAAGGGAACAGCUUGGGUGGGGCACUGACUGUCUUUUGCUUCUGCCCACCUCUCCUCCAGGUGUUUAACAUCUCCUGGGCUGUUGCUGAGCUGGGGCUUCUGCCACUAUAUAGGGCAGGCUGGCCCAGGGGCUUGGAGGAAGAAGGAAGAAGGGAACAGCUUGGGUGGGGCACUGACUGUCUUUUGCUUCUGCCCCACCUCUCCUCCAGAUCCAGCUGUACGUGUGUGGUAAAUUCAAUACCCGGCAGAAAUGAGCAUUGGGCUGUUGGCUUUUAGGAAACAACUAGAUACAUCUCUUGAGCCAAGCUUCUUAGCUAUUUGGUAGUUUUUAUACUGUAUAAGAAGCUGGGCAGCGAUAAAAUCAGUCACAGAAGAAAAGCCUCUCCUGCUUAACAGUCUUCUGCUACUCAAAAUUACUGGC
Molecule: long non-coding RNA, 469 nt
Organism: Hemicordylus capensis (graceful crag lizard)
Lineage: Eukaryota; Metazoa; Chordata; Lepidosauria; Squamata; Cordylidae
Exons: 3
Source: RefSeq, a predicted model, not a curated record